GCAAACUUGGUCAUUUAGAGGAAGUAAAAGUCGUAACAAGGUUUCCGUAGGUGAACCUGCGGAAGGAUCAUUAUCGAGUUAGGGUCCUCCGGGGCCCGACCUCCAACCCUUUGUCUACCCGACCUCUUGUUGCUUCGGCGGGCCCGUCUCCCCUGUUAUGGGGCCGACCGCCGGAGGGUCCACACCCUCUGGCCCGCGCCCGCCGGUGGCCUCCAGAAACUCUUGUUAAAGCGUGUCUGUCUGAAUAGAAAACAUCAAUAACCAAAAAACUUUCAACAACGGAUCUCUUGGUUCUGGCAUCGAUGAAGAACGCAGC
Molecule: unclassified non-coding RNA, 316 nt
Filed under: uncultured fungus
Lineage: Eukaryota; Fungi
Description: partial contains small subunit ribosomal RNA, internal transcribed spacer 1, and 5.8S ribosomal RNA
Rfam family: Eukaryotic small subunit ribosomal RNA (bases 1-73)
Source: RNAcentral